GAUGAACGCUGGCGGCGUGCUUAACACAUGCAAGUCGAACGCAGUGCUUUAGCUUCGGUUGAGGCAGCUGCGUGGCGGACGGGUGCGUAACACGUAGGAACUUGCCCCAGAGAGGGGGAUAACCGUUGGAAACGACGGAUAAUCCCGCAUACGCUCCUUCGGGAGAAAAGCUCCGGCGCUCUGGGAUGGGCCUGCGGCCUAUCAGGUAGUUGGUGGGGUAAUGGCCUACCAAGCCUACGACGGGUAGGGGGCGUGAGAGCGUGGCCCCCCACACGGGAACUGAGACACGGUCCCGACGCCUACGGGCGGCAGCAGUGAGGAAUCUUGCACAAUGGGCGAAAGCCUGAUGCAGCGACGCCGCGUGCGGGAAGAAGGCCUUCGGGUUGUAAACCGCUUUUCUGGGGGACGAGACAGGACGGUACCUCAGGAAUAAGUCCCGGCUAACUACGUG
This 451-nucleotide ribosomal RNA is filed under the name uncultured organism. RNAcentral's name for it is "bacterial SSU rRNA". It matches the Rfam family "Bacterial small subunit ribosomal RNA", at positions 28 to 507 of the family's 1533-position model. The record is from RNAcentral.